CAGGCAGUGUCAGCACAACUCAAGGAGGUUCUCAUCUGGAGCUUGGCACCCCUCCAUAGGUGUAGGGUUACUUCAGCCCCAUUUCCUUCUGCAUGGCUCUGAGUGCUUCCCCCAAGGACAGUAAGGAACAGCAGGCUGCCAGGGUGUCCACAUUUCAGUGCCUGCCGUGAUGCAACAAAGGGCUGGGCUCCUUCCCAUGGCCAAAGUCACCAUCUGAUACACCUGCACCUCACGGCUAUCCCGAGCAAAACUUAACCCAAACCCCUUAGAGUACCCCUCUCUUUCCUAAUGUGUGCCUGCCACUGAUCCCUGCUGUCAAAGGCACAGAUUAAAUGUCAACAAGCUCUCCACAAUUGAUAUUAAUACUGGAAAUGGUCAGCUGGGGACAUGCCUUCUAGGCCACUGGAGGACAGAGACCUGAGUCACCUCGAGCACUGCUCAGUGCCAUACAUUCACAGAUCCCUGGCAUUUUGAACAGCCCUUCUAUAGCAGGGAACAACACUGGAGAUAGUUGAAAACCCAAAUAAGAUGUUGGCAAGUGCUCUGUGCAAUUAGAAAGAAGGAGGAUUGUAUGGAGCACAAACAAGUCUCAGGACUGAAUGCAACUGGAUGCUCUCUCAAACUUCUAGGGCUGAAAUGCUUGUGAUGAUUCCAGAACUGCAGGAUUAUAACAGUGGAUAUUCACUGUUUAAACAUUUAAAAGCUAUACAUUAUCACUCUUAGUGUACCUCCAGUGGGUCUCCCACAUGCAUUACAGUGCCUGGUGCUGCUAUUGACAAACUCUGAAUGUAUUUCCAUGAGCAAAUUGUGUAACACAAUAGGAGCAGCUCUAGAGAGCCCAGCACAACUCCUUAUACUCCUUUUAGGGCCCUCUCUCUGGAGCAGCUUUGGCUCCAUGGCAAUUAUCCAUUAGCAGUGGGGAUGCGCUAGAUGUGUGUUAGGAUCAGAGAUGCAAGAUAUAUACCCUUAUCUGUGAUGCCUAACUCUGACACCCAAGAAAGCACUGAAUUUCAUAUAGCACCAUGGAGACAACUGUUAGAGUUAAGUAGAGAAACUGAAAAUUUCAAGGGGAGAAAGAACCUAACCACGAGUGCCCUAUAGAGACAGAUGUGCACAUGGGGCUCAAUCUUCUGUGUCUAGCUGCAUCUAAAAGGUGUCUAGCUACAUGCUAAAGUACGUAUGCUGCCCACCUCUGCUGUUUGGCAUGACACCAUGAUGCUGUAUCCAAAGCAGUUUCCUGGCUCCAUUUAGUCUGCCCUUUAGUAUGUGGCACAUCCUAAUUUUUCAUUUCUUAAUCAAUCUCCAUUUUAAGUCUAAGCAAUUGGACAUCAAUGAAGACAUAAGAAUAAUAUUUCAGAUGCUCUCUGGAAAAUCUGCACUGGUUUGAGCUCUGAAAUAAGCUGUAAACUGUAGCUGUAGGUCUUUGAGGUGGGGUUCUCACUUAGGAAGAGGAUUGCUGGAGGGGAGACAGUUCGCUAUCUGCAGCAGGGAUUCCUACCAUCAGCAAAUUCCUCAUUCUCCUGGAUCAAUCACCUCAUGGUCAGUCAAAAGGUAGGAAGGGGUAUUCUGGCCCCAUGGAAUUAGGAACUGCUGUUUGCACUCCUGCAGCCUAACUGCUGUUCCCUGUGGGAAUAGAGAUUAAAUUUGUCCCAAUGGCUUAGCAGAACUCCUGUAUCUGCCCUGUUCACAUGCUUUCAGGAGGACAUUUUGCGUCACUCGUAGCCGCUGUUCUCCUCUUUUGUUAGGCUAUUCUCUCAGGAUUUAUAUGCUGUGUAGAAGUUUUGUUUCACAUCACAAUGUGUUUAUGUGCAGGUCAGGAAAUUAAUCAGCCGACUAUCUGAACAAUUAAAACAAUUUUGGCUAGCCUGGCUUUGCUUUGAUACUGGGUUUGGGUUUGUUGUGACUCAUAAAGCUUUUGGGGCCAUC
This is a long non-coding RNA of Cyanistes caeruleus (blue tit), 1926 nucleotides long. RefSeq lists it as uncharacterized. The record is from RefSeq and is a predicted model, not a curated record. NCBI's taxonomy places the organism in Eukaryota, Metazoa, Chordata, Aves, Passeriformes, Paridae.